UCGAGUCAAGUUUCUCACCUCUCCAGGAGGAAGUGCCAUUUGUCUUCAUACCCCCCUAGCCCACGUUCUCCUUCUCAGUUUUCUAUAAAUAUGGCUGCUUUCUUCUCUACUUUAACCCACCAUUUUCACUAACUUUGAAGCUCUGGUUCGUGAAGAAAAGUAUGGAAGAAUCUGUUAAGCUCAGGAGGGAUAGCGCCAUGGAUGUUUUUGUAAUCGAUCAUGUCUCUAGAUUCCUGGGUUUUGAUCCUUCUGUAGCGCUAUCCAUCCUGAGUUCAAUAGGUUCUUCUUGCUCUGCAUCUCCCGCUUGCUUGCUGGUUUCUGCCAUUAAAGGCUCUUUCAAAAGUUCUCCCAGCUGAUCCUGCAGUUUCUUUUCUUCUUCUUCUUCUUCGUCGUCUUCUUCUUGAUGGAAGAAGGAAAAGCAGAAGAAAAAUCUUAAAAUAAUGAUAUGCUUCCUUUCGAGAGGACCAUAAUGAGACGAGGACAAACAUUAUUAUUAGGUUUUUAUUUAAUUUAGAUAUUUGGUUCCCUGUUCAUGCAACCUUGCAAUCUCUGAGUGUCGCAGAUUUUUCUUUUCAUUAUUUGUUUUUUCUUUCCAUAUUGGUCAAGGUGUUAGGAAUCUAAUUAUGGAUGGAAAUGGCAGUUCACGUUUGCCCCAUUAUCUACCUCAUAUGUAAUAUAAAUCAGAAAAUGGCCGGUAAUGAUUAUAAAUUUAUUAUAUAAAAAAAGCAAAAAAAAAAAAAAAAAGAUAUUAUGAAUA
This is a long non-coding RNA of Manihot esculenta (cassava), 757 nucleotides long. RefSeq lists it as uncharacterized. NCBI's taxonomy places the organism in Eukaryota, Viridiplantae, Streptophyta, Magnoliopsida, Malpighiales, Euphorbiaceae. The record is from RefSeq and is a predicted model, not a curated record. The transcript has 2 exons.